This 497-nucleotide ribosomal RNA is filed under the name uncultured bacterium. RNAcentral describes it as "partial 16S ribosomal RNA". It matches the Rfam family "Bacterial small subunit ribosomal RNA", at positions 28 to 507 of the family's 1533-position model. The record is from RNAcentral.
GAUGAACGCUGGCGGCGUGCCUAAUACAUGCAAGUCGAGCGAACAGACGAGGAGCUUGCUCCUCUGACGUUAGCGGCGGACGGGUGAGUAACACGUGGAUAACCUACCUAUAAGACUGGGAUAACUUCGGGAAACCGGAGCUAAUACCGGAUAAUAUAUUGAACCGCAUGGUUCAAUAGUGAAAGACGGUUUUGCUGUCACUUAUAGAUGGAUCCGCGCCGCAUUAGCUAGUUGGUAAGGUAACGGCUUACCAAGGCGACGAUGCGUAGCCGACCUGAGAGGGUGAUCGGCCGCACUGGAACUGAAACACGGUCCAUGCUCCUACGGGAGGCAGCAGUAGGGAAUCUUCCGCAAUGGGCGAAAGCCUGACGGAGCAACGCCGCGUGAGUGAUGAAGGUCUUCGGAUCGUAAAACUCUGUUAUUAGGGAAGAACAAAUGUGUAAGUAACUAUGCACGUCUUGACGGUACCUAAUCAGAAAGCCACGGCUAACUACGUG